CGCCUGUUUAUCAAAAACAUCACCUCUAGCAUCACCAGUAUUCGUCGCCUGUUUAUCAAAAACAUGUCCUUUAGUUUAAAAUAUAAGGUUUAACCUGCCNNCUGAAUAUUAAAUGGCCGCGGUAUUUUGACCGUGCUAAGGUAGCAUAAUCAUUAGUUUUUUAAUUGAAAGCUGGAAUGAAAGGUUGGAUGAAAAAAUUACUGUCUCUAAAUAAUUUAAUUAGAAAUUUAUUUUUAAAUUAAAAAGUUUAAAUAAAUUUAAAAGACGAGAAGACCCUAUAGAGUUUUAUAUAAUUUAUUUUAUAAUAUUUAGGUAUUUAUUAUUUAUAAUAUAAUUUAUAUUUAAUUGGGGUGAUUGAAAAAUUUAUUAAACUUUUUUCUUAUUUAUAUAUAUAUUUAUANNUUAAUGAUCCAUUANUUUUGAUUAUAAGAAUAAAUUACCUUANGGAUNACAGCAUAAUUUUAUUANAAAGUUCAAAUUGAUAAUAAAGAUUGUGCACCUCNAUGUNGGAUUAAAAUUAAUUUUUGGUGUAGAAGCUAAAUAAAUA
This 547-nucleotide ribosomal RNA is filed under the name Mniophilosoma laeve. Its description in RNAcentral is "partial large subunit ribosomal RNA". The record is from RNAcentral. Lineage: Eukaryota; Metazoa; Arthropoda; Insecta; Coleoptera; Chrysomelidae.